Molecule: transfer-messenger RNA, 330 nt
Filed under: Thermoanaerobacteraceae bacterium SP2
Lineage: Bacteria; Bacillati; Bacillota; Clostridia; Thermoanaerobacterales; Thermoanaerobacteraceae
Rfam family: transfer-messenger RNA
About the family: Bacterial tmRNA, also known as 10Sa RNA or SsrA, is named for its dual tRNA and mRNA-like properties. Its role is to liberate the mRNA from a stalled ribosome.
Source: Rfam by way of RNAcentral
UUUGGUUUCGACGGGGGCGGCAGAGAUAAAAGCUGCAGGUCGAGCUUUCCGACUCGUAAAUCCGGAAGCGUAAAAUAAACGCCAAAGACGAAUUAGCACUCGCUGCUUAAUUAAAUAGCAGCGCACCCUCCCCGGCGGUGCCCGGCGGCCGGGAAAAGGGUGUCAUAAAUCCGGGAUCUUCCCGUAGUGCAGCUCUGGCACUAUAGGAGAAAAUUAAAGAGCUGGCCGAUCUUUUAUCCUGCUCCCGGGAGAAAAGCCGGCGAGAACAAAAGCGGGAGAUAAGCCUGUAGACGCUUUUAUUGAUGUGCCUUCGGACAGGGGUUCGAUUCA